UCCUACGGGGGGCAGCAGUGGGGGAUAUUGCACAAUGGGGGAAACCCUGAUGCAGCGACGCCGCGUGGGUGAAGAAGCGCCUCGGCGCGUAAAGCCCUGUCAGCAGGGAAGAAAAUGACGGUACCUGAAGAAGAAGCCCCGGCUAACUACGUGCCAGCAGCCGCGGUAAUACGUAGGGGGCAAGCGUUAUCCGGAUUUACUGGGUGUAAAGGGAGCGUAGGCGGCGAUGCAAGUCAGAAGUGAAAGCCCGGGGCUCAACUCCGGGACUGCUUUUGAAACUGUGUUGCUAGAUUGCAGGAGAGGUA
Molecule: ribosomal RNA, 305 nt
Filed under: uncultured bacterium
Lineage: Bacteria
Description: bacterial SSU rRNA
Rfam family: Bacterial small subunit ribosomal RNA
Source: RNAcentral